GUUUUCAUGGCGGUAAUCCGUGCAAUCUGGAACGUGCAGAACUGUGGCCAUAUUCUGUGCUCCAUACAGAAAAGUGUAUGCAAUGCACCUGGCCAUCUUGAGCAACUGACUGCACUGGGUCAAGAAUGCUGAGCCAAGUAAUCUGUUUGUAGCAAAGGCAAAGGAAAUGCCAUUAGCCAGAGAGGCUCGGGCCUUCCCUCCAUUGACCCGAGCCAACCGUGGGUGGGACUCGACGUUAACCAGUCAGCCUGAACAACAUAGGAUUUGGUCUCGCAGCUCUGACUGUGACAGGCGCUGCAAAUGCACUAUUGAUGCAGUGGACAAGUGUUUCCUCAUUUUCAUAAGCUCUUGUAUUGGUGACAUCUGUUCUUGUAUGCAUUGUGAUCCUCAAGUAAGUGUCAAUUUUAUUUUUCGGUAACUUUCAUGUGUUUAUCGAGACUGAAAACUGAGAGUCAAUGUGCAGUAAUGAUUAAACUAUAGCACAAUAAUUCAAACACAGAAGCGAGAAGGACCUGAACAACACAAGCAUGUUUUACUGAUUCUUGUUUUUGUUCACUAUGCCUAAAGAUUUCGUUGAGUGUUAUUUGAUUGUGAGCAUUUUUCUAAGACAAGUUAUUUAUUAUUAUCUUUUAAAUGUCUUUAUUUCUGCAUUUAAUAGGCGAAGCCUUGCUGCAGAAAAGGGGUGCUCUAUGGGGGAGGGUAAAGCCGCUCCAUACACGUUUCCGCCAACCAGGUUAAGUUCCGCCGACCUGCGCUCCUCUCCCACUCACCCCAUUAGCUUCCGGCGUCAAGCGGAACUUACGUAGCUGCAGCUUCCUGUUCCGAGUGGAAGUGACACUUUGUUUUUUUAGCAUUGUUUACUUUCGCGCCGCUGGAGAGGCUUUAAUUGCACGAGCUGCGGUUGAAACUGUGAAUGCGAUUCCAUCCAAGAACCACCGCCUACUGUAACCAGCGAUCUGCUCGUGUUCGCUGCUUCGCGUCAACCUGUGACGGGUUGUGGCACGAGCGACAACGUACAGUGGAAUGUAGUGCCUGGGCGCUUGGAGACCACUGCCGUUUUUCGUGCAUUUGGACAACAGCUACCGCAAACUACUACUUCAGCGGAAUACAACAGCUUGUACACUUUGCAUUCUUCUUAUUGUGACUGCCACAGCUCUGCUAAGCACGCGCGGGCGUCUCACCAUCGUCUAACAGCAGUCAAAGCGGAAAUUCCCGCAGCGCAACUCCAGAAAGCGGAAACGCUGGAACCGGAAAUUUUUAAACCGGAAAUGCGGGAACCGGAAAUACCGGAACCGGAUUUGGUGUGAGGGGAAAAGGCGGCGCACAACAAAGGUUGUUGCUACUUAAGAAAGCGGCGGUGGCGCGUAGAUGCAGGGGCUUUAGGGGAGGGGGACCGGUGCUCUCUUCUUCCUCAAGGUGGAGUGCUUCAGAGCUAUACACUCAAACCUCAAUAUAAUGAACACAGAACAACUCAACAGUUAUAGUGAAGCAUAUCUAAAAUGCUUAUUGCCUAUAUCCAGUAUGUAAUAAGUGUAAGUUUAUAACGAAUAUAGGAUAUUAUGAAGAUGUUCUUGUGUUGGAUGCCACUUCAUUACAGCAAGGUUUGACUGUGUUUAGAAACAUCUUUGCAUUUAUCACACCCGUUUAGAUAGCAUCAAUAAUGCAGAAAUGUUCUAUAAGUUGACUUGUGAAUCUGCGUGGCUUGACAUCACUUAUUUUUCUUUUUCAGAUGCCCAUCCUGGUAAACAUAGAUGUACUGCAGGAAGUUCAUUUUGAAAGUACUUGGAAAGGGCGUUAAACCUUCACCAUGUGGGCCUUGCUGAAUAUCUUGAUCUUUCACAUGUGGAAUAGUUAAAUUGAGAUAUCUUGGUUCCUCCAUCACCUUUACAAGCUCUGUUUAACUAAGCAGAAUCAGGCUGUUGUUCCGAUCAUUUAGUUGUGAUGAACUCAAUUUCAAGCUGUAAUUGCCAUGCACAUUUUAGACAAGCUGUAGAAUUGCCACAAACAUUUUGUGAGAUUAAACCUGAUAUUACUUCUCACCACUCUUAUGUCGUCACACGUGACCCUGUAUCUCCACCAGAUGUCAUGUGGUAGUAAUAAGUGGAUGCCAGCAGGCUUGCAGGCAAGCAACCCACUUCAAGAAGAACUACUGGGUGGACUUGGGCUAUUUAAGUCAAACUACAACUCGGGGCGAUGAUAUCUAGAGGUGUGGUCAGCAGAUGUCAAGUCGAAUGGCAUGGCCAUCAUGCUGUUUCUUGUUAAUAGGGGGUGAUCGUGCAUUCUAGAUUUCACUGGGGUAACCACACAGGUUCAAGAACAGGCUGCAGUAAUCUACACAGGCUGGUAGGAUGGACCUGUCUUUCUAAUGUAACCACAACGUCCAAGAGGCACGUGUACAUUGAUAUUGCGAGUACGUCUAGCACAGUUACCCAAGUGUAAUAGUGCAUAUUGUGUCUUUAGGACAAGGUGUAUGCGGCAAUACAUUGCUUUUGCUGUUUCUGUCAACUCAUUUGCUCAGUUUGGAAAGCAGAAUUGUAUCAGAGUUUGUUUAAUUACUUUUACAUAUUGGAAGUAAAAGCGUGAGUAGUCUGCAGUGCUCACAGUGCUCACUAGGCUUGCAGCGCAGUGGCUUAGCGCAGUUUCUCAUCUGAACAUCUCAUUUUACAACAAAAGGCUGUAAAUGCUGCAUUUAUACCACUUUUCUGCAACACCGACUGCCCACCAUGUGAAACCCUCUUUGCCGGCUGCCCUCUCCACAUCCCGCAGAACAUCGUGUUGUGAAGAAGAUAGCAGUGCCACGACGCCAGCUCUUCCCACUGCCGCAAUCUCUCGUCACGCCACCCACUGUUUGCACUGCCAUUAUAUUUGUGACCUGCCACCAGAUGGCAUGUCGUCUUGCUCAUAGCAGUGGCAGAAAAGCUGAGUGGUCAGUUGUGGUCAUGCGCUGAAUAUUAUCACAGUUUUGUUUAACUUUUGCGGCUUGUUCUGUGUAGUGUUUAGCUGCUCAAAGUCGUGCAGACAUCCUUCAGUUUUGCUGUAUUGUAACCCCACCUAUAUUCAGUGUUUUAUAUAUAUAUUUCUUUCUUUUCACAAGUUCUCUUGUGCAGAUUUUGCAGGUGUGCAUUGUUUUGGUGAAUGUUUAGUGCUUUGUUUUGUAACUUGUUGACUGCUUUUAGAGUUGUUUAAUUAUGCCUUACCUGCUUUCUCUUUUUAUGUCUUUGCACACAUACCGAAUGCGUCUGUUAAUUUGACUCUGGUUAUCUAGAUUUUUCGGUCAGUUCGAUCCCGGCUGCAUGUCCUGGCUGGUGCCUGUGCAUUUAUAUGGGCCCAAACAUUCAUUAUUUCGAUGCUAAACUUGCCCUUCGCUGGAUAUUUCAAACUUGAUCAAUCAGCAUGCACGCACUUGACCUCUGUGGUGACCCCAUAGUGAUAACUUUACUGGCAGCGUCCUCCUCGGCAGAGCAUAGGGGACAUUGAAUGCGUAGAAUGCCUUUAUUUGGCCUGCCCUAGGAAGAUUUCCAAGCAAUGAAGAUAUCUCACAAUUCAGAUUACUGUUUUUACCAAAUUCUAAAGUGUGCAUUCCUUCCUCCCCCCCUAAAAAAUUGGGCCUUAAAUUGCGUUUGCAUGAUUUUCUGUGAACAGGACUGUAUUGUGGCAAAACUGACUAAAAACUGUGCGGUGACACUGACUUUAGGAAACUGUGCAACCUUAGGCCACUGUGCGACACAUAUUAAAGGGCCCCUCACCAGGUCACAUAGCAAAUUUUGGUUAUAUGCUGGAAGUUGUUACGUGUCCUCUAGGAAGCGUUCUAUCGCAAUAAAUUUUCGAAUUGGGUCAUUAAUAACCGAGAUAUAAAUAUUUCAGUGCCGCGAACCGAUGAUUUCAGGAGGUGAGCGUCACCGCCAAGAUAAUGCUCUCUCCACUUGCCCCUGUCUAGCCUCAGCAAGUGAAAUUCCGUCCCUGUGUUCUCCCAUAUGGGAGCUAAGGGCGUAUCGUUUCACGCAUACGUCACGGGCUCUGCCUUCCUUUUUUUUCUCUUUCACUUUCUUGCUGUGCGGCACACUUCAGCUGAUGGUCUCUCGCGCGAGCUGGUGUGUUUGUCUCGUUUCUGCAUGAUUUUGUGCACUGUGCAUGAGAACACCUAACUAGCCGUAUGAGUCAGCGCUGCAUUAAUACUGAGGCAGACGCAAUCGGAUCACAGAGCAUAAUCGCAUGCUGGAAUACGGUAGAAAAUUACAUAAAUUUGCUCCCUGUGUGAACACGACUGCACGACAUGGGAACAAGCAGACAAAGUCGAACUACAUCUGUCUUGCUACGGUAUGAAGUAAAACAAAGACAAGCAGACAUUUGGUUUGUAGGUUUUACUGUGGGUCAGUCGCAUCGCACAUAUUAAUUGAAUUACCCACUUGAAGCAAACACACCAGUUAAUUAUUGGCUGCAAAUGUUAAAAGAAAAAAAAUGAAUUUUUUUUGGCCUUGCUAACUGAACGUGACACAUCAAACAUCCAAUCACACAUGGCGCAUCAAAGUGAAAUGGAGGAACACUGGGAAUGCAAGGAGUUUAAUUCAGCUGAAGCCGACUCUGUGUUCCUUACAGUGAAGCUGGCAAGGGGAGUUCCACAACGGUUUUCAUGCAGCAAAGGCCGGUGUGCAACAGCAUGGUUGAUAUUAGAUAUAAGUUUAAUGAAACGUGUGUCACAACCCUGAAUCUGCUUUCAUAAAUAUAAUGAUCACUGAUUAUAGAAUAAAAGUUACCUUGUGUAUAUCUCAUUCAUAUAAACAACCUAUGCGUGCUGUCUUUUUAACCAGUAAUCCGCAAUUUUUUUUUUAUCUUGUUGUAUUAUACUGGCUCCAUGUUGGGGAUCAGCUAGGAUUUUGUGUGGCUGCGCUGGUGAAACCUGGUGCUGCAGUACUGCAAUACAGCAACGACCGUGCUUGAAUACAGCAGCAACUGUUCCUUGAGCCAGCAAGUGUAGUACUUCUGAAGGGUGUGAGAACUUGCUUAUACAGCUUCGCUGUCUUUGAUGUAACAGUUGUCAGGUUGGCCUGCAUCUGUGAAGGAUAUUUUUUUUUUCUUUUACCAUCACUGAAUGAAACUGGCAAAAAGAAAUUUGUGCACUUUGACUGAAGAGUACGUACUACUGGCAGAGCUGCGAUUCUUUCUUUGCCGUCUUCCUAAGCAUCUGCACACCCCCAAAAAAUGUAUGUUUGGGAAAGUGACGGGGCAUGUUUAACUUACUGCAGCAGUAGUCCUGGAAGAAUGGAGCCCCGUGGGCAGCAAAGCGGCUUCCUCCCAGUCCUCAAGCAAUGACAGCGGUGACGAGGGAACAGAAGCAAGUGAAGUCGGACAGUCAGAGCUCCUCACUUUCGCGAGUGUCUCGACAUCCAAAGCCAUCGAGGAGACGUCUCAAGCCAGGCAUGGGCGACUCUGUUGCUGGCUGUGUCCGUACAAUGCGGCUUACACAUCGCAGUUGGCCGAGCACAUGCGAACGCACACGGCUAUUGUGUCAAGGAGUCAUCACGGCUCUGGAAUUCCAUCUCAUUCAAGCUCUGGUGCCACCAGUGGAGCGGAAAGGAGUAAAGUCGGACAACCUGACCUUCUCACUUCUACGAGCCCAUUAGCAUCUCCAUCAGUGCAGGAGACACCUUCGCGUACACAUAAGCAACAUCAUUGUGCUUUGUGUUCAUACAAAGCAAUUUCCAAUUCCAAAUUAACAGCACAUAUGCGAAGCCACACGGGUGAGAAGCCGUUUAAGUGUCAUUUGUGCCCAUCGGCAUUUGCGCAGGGUAGUGACUGCAGGCGUCACAUGUCGGUGCACACUGGUGUGAAACACUUCAAGUGUCACCUCUGCCCUUAUUCCGCGGUACAGAAGUCUGACCUGAAAAUUCACAACAUAACCCACACAGGUAAAAAGCCAUACCAGUGCAAUCAAUGCAGCUAUGCUUCCGUACGCAGUGCUCGCAUGAAGCGUCAUAUGCUUCAGCAGCACAAAUGAAACCAUUUUUUAGGAGAAGGCAUGUUUCCUCUAUUGUAAGAAGGCUACAGCGCAAAACAGACAGUCUGAUGUGCCAUAUUUAGCUCAAAGUCAUGUGCUGAUGUUGCUGCGAGCAUUUUACUUGGUACAAAUGGUAUGAAGUCUAUGCUAAUUAUUCAGAAUUAUCUUGAAUGACAGCAAUGCAUGCAGAGUGCAGUAAACAAUGUAAAAAACACCACAAGUGAUAAAAUUGCAAAAAGCAGUCGCACUUCACGGCUAGUGAUAGAUGGCAUCUCUACAGUCCUGAAGUUGAUUGUAUGGUGAAUUGUGAGGUGUGGAGUGAAAGAAGGAAUAUUGGCUCAAGAAAAGAUUGGCUCUAGUAUGAAAUUGUUAUACAGUCAUGAAAAUGUACAAUAACAUGGUUCGGUAUAGAGUUCGUAAACUUCUGUGAUAAAAACUGAUAAAGCAACUGGAAUACCAGUACUCCGCUCUCAUGAAGAGAAACUGACUGUGUGUUCUUUUUUUUAGUUACACUAUUGUACCGUUCACAAACUUUUGUUACAAAAACUGUGGUAAACAACUAGAGUGACGGCAUUCUUCUCAUGAAUGGAAGCCGAAUGAGAGAUGCUUUCUUUUUUUCAUUUACACUAUGAAUAAUAAUUCGUGAUGAAGGGGGCUGCGUUUUUCUGCAGCGUUUCAAACUUGCUAUUUAUCUCGGAUGUUCGUGGCAGAUUUGUGAGAAUAUAGCCACUCCAAAAAAUGGGUGGUGGCAAGUGGCAUCUAAUAAAUCCAAGUUCUUGAAUUUCA
Long non-coding RNA from Dermacentor andersoni, 6781 nucleotides. RefSeq lists it as uncharacterized. NCBI's taxonomy places the organism in Eukaryota, Metazoa, Arthropoda, Arachnida, Ixodida, Ixodidae. The record is from RefSeq and is a predicted model, not a curated record.